UACAGAGGUGGCAAGCGUUGUUCGGAAUUACUGGGCGUAAAGGGCGCGUAGGCGGCCCGUCAAGUCCCGUGUGAAAGCCCCCGGCUCAACCGGGGAACUGCACGGGAAACUAGCAGGCUUGAGUUCGGGAGAGGGAAGCGGAAUUUCGGGUGUAGCGGUGAAAUGCGCAGAUAUCCGAAGGAACACCGGUGGCGAAGGCGGCUUCCUGGACCGACACUGACGCUGAGGCGCGAAAGCUAGGGGAGCAAGCGGG
RNAcentral lists this ribosomal RNA (253 nucleotides) under uncultured bacterium. Its description in RNAcentral is "partial 16S ribosomal RNA". It matches the Rfam family "Bacterial small subunit ribosomal RNA", at positions 524 to 776 of the family's 1533-position model. The record is from RNAcentral.